RNAcentral lists this ribosomal RNA (777 nucleotides) under uncultured Staphylococcus sp. RNAcentral's name for it is "bacterial SSU rRNA". It matches the Rfam family "Bacterial small subunit ribosomal RNA", at positions 83 to 842 of the family's 1533-position model. The record is from RNAcentral. Lineage: Bacteria; Bacillati; Bacillota; Bacilli; Caryophanales; Staphylococcaceae.
UCUCUGAUGUUAGCGGCGGACGGGUGAGUAACACGUGGAUAACCUACCUAUAAGACUGGGAUAACUUCGGGAAACCGGAGCUAAUACCGGAUAAUAUUUUGAACCGCAUGGUUCAAAAGUGAAAGACGGUCUUGCUGUCACUUAUAGAUGGAUCCGCGCUGCAUUAGCUAGUUGGUAAGGUAACGGCUUACCAAGGCAACGAUGCAUAGCCGACCUGAGAGGGUGAUCGGCCACACUGGAACUGAGACACGGUCCAGACUCCUACGGGAGGCAGCAGUAGGGAAUCUUCCGCAAUGGGCGAAAGCCUGACGGAGCAACGCCGCGUGAGUGAUGAAGGUCUUCGGAUCGUUAAACUCUGUUAUUAGGGAAGAACAUAUGUGUCAAGUAACUGUGCACAUCUUGACGGUACCUAAUCAGAAGCCACGGCUAACUACGUGCCAGCAGCCGCGGUAAUACGUAGGUGGCAAGCGUUAUCCGGAAUUAUUGGGCGUAAAGCGCGCGUAGUCGGUUUGUUAAGUCUGAUGUGAAAGCCCACGGCUCAACCGUGGAGGGUCAUUGGAAACUGGAAAACUUGAGUGCAGAAGAGGAACAGUGGAAUUCCAUGUGUAUCGGUGAAAUGCUCAGAGAUAUGGAGGAACACCAGUGGCGAAGGCGACUUUCUGGUCUGUAACUGACGCUGAUGUGCGAAAGCGUGGGGAUCAUAACAGGAUUAGAUACCCUGGUAGUCCACGCCUGUAAACGAUGAGUGCUCAAGUGUUAGGGGGUUUCCGCCCACUU